This 497-nucleotide ribosomal RNA is filed under the name uncultured bacterium. Its description in RNAcentral is "partial 16S ribosomal RNA". It matches the Rfam family "Bacterial small subunit ribosomal RNA", at positions 28 to 507 of the family's 1533-position model. The record is from RNAcentral.
GACGAACGCUGGCGGCGUGCCUAAUACAUGCAAGUAGAACGCUGAAGGAAGGAGCUUGCUCUUUCUGGAUGAGUUGCGAACGGGUGAGUAACGCGUAGGUAACCUGCCUGGUAGCGGGGGAUAACUAUUGGAAACGAUAGCUAAUACCGCAUAAAAUUGAUUAUUGCAUGAUAGUCAAUUAAAAGGUGCAACUGCACCACUACCAGAUGGACCUGCGUUGUAUUAGCUAGUUGGUGGGGUAACGGCUCACCAAGGCGACGAUACAUAGCCGACCUGAGAGGGUGAUCGGCCACACUGGGACUGAGACACGGCCCAGACGCCUACGGGAGGCAGCAGUAGGGAAUCUUCGGCAAUGGACGGAAGUCUGACCGAGCAACGCCGCGUGAGUGAAGAAGGUUGUCGGAUCGUAAAGCUCUGUUGUAAGAGAAGAACGAGUGUGAGAGUGGAAAGUUCACACUGUGACGGUAUCUUACCAGAAAGGGACGGCUAACUACGUG